UACGUAGGGCGCAAGCGUUGUCCGGAUUUACUGGGCGUAAAGAGCGCGCAGGCGGCUGGUCAAGUCCGAUGUGAAAUCUCCCGGCUCAACUGGGAAACAGCAUCGGAAACUGAUCGGCUUGAAGAUGGGAGAGGGUAGUGGAAUUCCCGGUGUAGUGGUGAAAUGCGUAGAUAUCGGGAGGAACACCAGUGGCGAAGGCGGCUACCUGGCCCAUUCUUGACGCUGAGGCGCGAAAGCUAGGGGAGCGAACGGG
RNAcentral lists this ribosomal RNA (253 nucleotides) under uncultured bacterium. RNAcentral describes it as "partial 16S ribosomal RNA". It matches the Rfam family "Bacterial small subunit ribosomal RNA", at positions 524 to 776 of the family's 1533-position model. The record is from RNAcentral.